CUACGGAGGGUGCAAGCGUUACUCGGAAUCACUGGGCGUAAAGCGCGCGCAGGCGGGCUGAUAAGUUGGAUGUGAAAGCCUACGGCUCAACCGUAGAACUGCAUCCAAAACUGUCAGUCUAGAGUGUGGGAGAGGAAGAUGGAAUUAGUUGUGUAGGGGUAAAGUCCGUAGAGAUAACUAGGAAUACCAAAAGCGAAGGCAAUCUUCUGGAACACUACUGACGCUGAGGCGCGAAGGCGUGGGGAGCAAACAGGAUUAGAAACCCCAGUAGUCC
This 274-nucleotide ribosomal RNA is filed under the name uncultured bacterium. Its description in RNAcentral is "partial 16S ribosomal RNA". It matches the Rfam family "Bacterial small subunit ribosomal RNA", at positions 523 to 796 of the family's 1533-position model. The record is from RNAcentral.